Long non-coding RNA from Melanotaenia boesemani (Boeseman's rainbowfish), 465 nucleotides. RefSeq lists it as uncharacterized. The transcript is spliced from 3 exons. NCBI's taxonomy places the organism in Eukaryota, Metazoa, Chordata, Actinopteri, Atheriniformes, Melanotaeniidae. The record is from RefSeq and is a predicted model, not a curated record.
GGACAACAAAACUCUGGUCAGAGCUAAAACUCUGAGCUGUUAAAGACACUGUCCCUGAUUUGUACAUUAAGUGUUGCACACACAUAUACAGACUCAACGUCUCUUCUUACUUCAUGGCAACAAUAUCACAGAUGGUGCACCACCCGCCCUUGGAGAGCAGUGAAAGUCAUGCUGGUGGUGCAGAGCUGAAAGUGUGUCAGAGGGGGGAGGCUCCAGGGCCCGGCCUGGAAUCUCCAAUCGCCUCACAGAGUCCUAGGCAGAGGACCAGCCCUGCGCAGAGCAACAGCAGAGGAAAAGAGAAGGCCAGUGCCCACUGGAAACACACCAUCCAUCAGCACGCUGUGUAAAACCACACAGAUAGUGUUUCACUUAGAAACACGUGUCGACCGGAAGCUGCAGUCGCCGUCGUGUGAAAUCGUUGUAAUCUCCAAUAUGUCACAGGCAAAUAAAGACUGCUUGUUUUAA